GCCAGUGUGGCAUAGUGGUUAAAGUGUUGGACUACAACUCUGGAGACCAGGAUUCAAAUCCCGGCCUGGCC
RNAcentral lists this transfer RNA (71 nucleotides) under Phrynosoma platyrhinos (Desert horned lizard). RNAcentral describes it as "tRNA-OTHER". The record is from RNAcentral. Lineage: Eukaryota; Metazoa; Chordata; Lepidosauria; Squamata; Phrynosomatidae.